RNAcentral lists this unclassified non-coding RNA (404 nucleotides) under soil metagenome. RNAcentral describes it as "partial contains 5.8S ribosomal RNA, internal transcribed spacer 2, and large subunit ribosomal RNA". The stretch from base 1 to 122 matches the Rfam family "5.8S ribosomal RNA", at positions 35 to 154 of the family's 154-position model. The record is from RNAcentral.
GAUGAAGAACGUAGCAAAAUGCGAUACUUGGUGUGAAUUGCAGAAUCCCGUGAACCAUCGAGUUUUUGAACGCAAGUUGCGCCCGAAGCCUUUUGGCCGAGGGCACGUCUGCCUGGGCGUCACGCAUCGCGUCGCCCCCCACAAUUCUCCGUAAAGGGAACAUGUGUUUUGGGGGCGGAUAUUGGUCUCCCGUGCUCAUGGCGUGGUUGGCCGAAAUAGGAGUCCUUUCGAUGGACGCACGAACUAGUGGUGGUCGUAAAAACCCUCGUCUUUUGUUUCGUGCUGUUGCUCGCAAGGUAAACUCUUUAAAAACCCCAAUGUGUCGUCUCUUGACGGCGCUUCGACCGCGACCCCAGGUCAGGCGGGACUACCCGCUGAGUUUAAGCAUAUCAAUAAGCGGAGGA